GUUUUUAAGAGGCACUACUAUGUGUAACAUACAAAAAGUCCCAUGAUCGUAGUUAAUUUAUUUAACACAGAUACCAAAUGUCAUGUGGAAUGUAUGGAACGCAAGUACAUGGUGUAACAGCACUGCACA
Molecule: long non-coding RNA, 129 nt
Organism: Bradysia coprophila
Lineage: Eukaryota; Metazoa; Arthropoda; Insecta; Diptera; Sciaridae
Source: RefSeq, a predicted model, not a curated record